AGAUAUGGGGAUUGGCUCCCCGGGUGCACAUGUUUGAGAGGAUGGGCUGUUUGAGAGGACGGCUCGUCGGGGGUUUAGGUGACGCCACUGACUAAUUUCCACGUGAUGUGAUUAUUUGAAGGUGAUAUUAGUUGUGGGUGCUGAUCGCCCGGGUCCAUCUAGUUCUCCUUCCGGACAGAAUCAGAGCUAGAGCCUAGUUCUCCAUCACCGUGAGUAAUAAUAAAUAAUGCAUAUCAACAUUGCAUUUGCAUAACAUUAUAUUUACCAUAUAUUAUAAGUAUUUUCUCAUACAUUGUAUAUAACUGUGCAUUGGGAUGAAAUGGAUGGUUUACGUUGAAUGACUUGUUUGAUUAAUUGUGCUGUGUAUAUACUGUGGUCUGUUUGUGUGGAAUUGGGAUGAAGUGGGUCACUAUGGGUUUGUGAGGACGGUCGAUAAAUAUGGAUCCUGAUGAAAUUAUGAAAUUGGACCAUCGGCCGGGUAAAUGGGAGAUCGGCGCCCCCGUGUGCACCUGAUUAACUGAUGAAAUGAUGUUGAUGAUAUGGAAAAGAAAAGAGGGAAUGUAAAAUAAAAUAUUGAGAGGACUGGUCAAGUGAGGAUUAGACCGGUCGGCCAGAUAUGGGGAUUGGCUCCCCGGGUGCACAUGUUUGAGAGGAUGGGCUGUUUGAGAGGACGGCUCGUCGGGGGUUUAGGUGACGCCACUGACUAAUUUCCACGUGAUGUGAUUAUUUGAAGGUGAUGUGAUGUCAUAUGAUUGACUGUUGUGUGUUCAUUCAGUAUACUAGGGUGCAUUUUGCUUAACUGUAUGUGGUGUGUAUUAUUUAUUAUUAUUCACUG
Molecule: long non-coding RNA, 835 nt
Filed under: Jatropha curcas
Lineage: Eukaryota; Viridiplantae; Streptophyta; Magnoliopsida; Malpighiales; Euphorbiaceae
Description: long non-coding RNA (JCUR_LNC000689)
Source: RNAcentral